UACGUAGGGACCAAGCGUUGUUCGGAUUUACUGGGCGUAAAGGGCACGUAGGCGGCUUGUCAAGUCACUUGUGAAAUCUCUGGGCUUAACCCAGAACGGCCAAGUGAAACUGACAUGCUAGAGUGCAGAAGGGGCAAUCGGAAUUCUUGGUGUAGCGGUGAAAUGCGUAGAUAUCAAGAGGAACACCUGAGGUGAAGACGGGUUGCUGGGCUGACACUGACGCUGAGGCGCGAAAGCCAGGGGAGCAAACGGG
RNAcentral lists this ribosomal RNA (253 nucleotides) under uncultured Acidobacteriota bacterium. RNAcentral describes it as "uncultured Acidobacteria bacterium partial 16S ribosomal RNA". It matches the Rfam family "Bacterial small subunit ribosomal RNA", at positions 524 to 776 of the family's 1533-position model. The record is from RNAcentral. Lineage: Bacteria; Pseudomonadati; Acidobacteriota.